This 422-nucleotide ribosomal RNA is filed under the name uncultured eukaryote. RNAcentral's name for it is "bacterial SSU rRNA". It matches the Rfam family "Eukaryotic small subunit ribosomal RNA", at positions 356 to 755 of the family's 1831-position model. The record is from RNAcentral.
CGGGUAACGGAGGAUUAGGGUUUGAUUCCGGAGAAGGAGCAUGAGAAACGGCUACUAUUUCUAAGGAAAGCAGCAGGCGCGCAAAUUAUUCAAUGGAAACAAUUUUCCGAAAUAGUGACAAAAAAUAUCAAUGCUAGGUACUACGUAUUUAGUAAUUGGAAUGAGUACAAUUUAAAUCCCUUAACAAGUAACAAUUAGAGGGCAAGUCUGGUGCCAGCAGCCGCGGUAAUUCCAGCUCUAAUAGCGUAUAUUAAUAUUGUUGCAGUUAAAAAGACUCGUAGUUGAAAUUUGGAACUUUAUUGUAUUGGUUUAUCUUUUGAUGUAACUGUAUGAUGGGUUUCUUCCUACUAGAGUUCGAUUCUGUUCUUAGCUGAAUGGUAGUAGCUAUCUCUCGGGGUAGUCAGUUGGUGUUAUAUCUCCAC